This 707-nucleotide long non-coding RNA is filed under the name Pan troglodytes (chimpanzee). RNAcentral's name for it is "lincRNA". Lineage: Eukaryota; Metazoa; Chordata; Mammalia; Primates; Hominidae. The record is from RNAcentral.
ACAAGGAACAUGUCAACAGCUGGGCUUGGGGUUUGAGGAACAGAGUCGCUGCGAUUGGAACAGAGCCCGGCCACCCUGUUCCACCACUGUCCACUCCGUAGCUCCCAGCCUGCCGCCGCGCGGUGCCCGAACACGAGAGGGCACCUCCUCCCAGAUCCGGGGCGCAGAAGCCCCGCGGAGGCAGGGAAGUUCCUGGGCUUUGCUCCAAAGCUGCCCCGGAAUGUUUUGGUUGGUUUGGAGAAAAGCUGUGGCGUCUACACCACUUGUUCCAAGCAGGCGGCCCCCUGGUGGCUAACUGGGGGUGAGAAAGCUGGCCACUGAGGAAGAAGUCUGGCGCAGGUAGGCCCCAACAGUUGACAACCUAGUCUUCGGGUCUUCUUCACAGCGUGUGAACAACUUAGUAUUACCGCGGGGGGGGGGGGGGGGAGAGGGUUGGGGGGUGGUGAGGUGAAGCAAAUCUUCCUUCAACACGGUGGAUCAUAGGCUUCUCGGCCUACUGGAACUUUUAAUUUUUUUCUCUUCCUGAGUAUAACUUGGAGCUAAAUUAUUUAAGAAGGAGACAUACAGCGGACAAAACGAAAUGUAACAAAAACUGUUGCUUCUCUUUGUUCAAGGGCUUUGUCUUUCUGAUCUCAUUUUGCCCAGAAAAUUCAGAAAUGAGCCAAUUAAAGCAUGAAAUAAAUAAAGGGCGUGGCAUUAUUCAAACA